Molecule: ribosomal RNA, 2110 nt
Filed under: Escherichia coli
Lineage: Bacteria; Pseudomonadati; Pseudomonadota; Gammaproteobacteria; Enterobacterales; Enterobacteriaceae
Description: partial 23S ribosomal RNA
Rfam family: Bacterial large subunit ribosomal RNA
Source: RNAcentral
GGUUAAGCGACUAAGCGUACACGGUGGAUGCCCUGGCAGUCAGAGGCGAUGAAGGACGUGCUAAUCUGCGAUAAGCGUCGGUAAGGUGAUAUGAACCGUUAUAACCGGCGAUUUCCGAAUGGGGAAACCCAGUGUGUUUCGACACACUAUCAUUAACUGAAUCCAUAGGUUAAUGAGGCGAACCGGGGGAACUGAAACAUCUAAGUACCCCGAGGAAAAGAAAUCAACCGAGAUUCCCCCAGUAGCGGCGAGCGAACGGGGAGCAGCCCAGAGCCUGAAUCAGUGUGUGUGUUAGUGGAAGCGUCUGGAAAGGCGCGCGAUACAGGGUGACAGCCCCGUACACAAAAAUGCACAUGCUGUGAGCUCGAUGAGUAGGGCGGGACACGUGGUAUCCUGUCUGAAUAUGGGGGGACCAUCCUCCAAGGCUAAAUACUCCUGACUGACCGAUAGUGAACCAGUACCGUGAGGGAAAGGCGAAAAGAACCCCGGCGAGGGGAGUGAAAAAGAACCUGAAACCGUGUACGUACAAGCAGUGGGAGCACGCUUAGGCGUGUGACUGCGUACCUUUUGUAUAAUGGGUCAGCGACUUAUAUUCUGUAGCAAGGUUAACCGAAUAGGGGAGCCGAAGGGAAACCGAGUCUUAACUGGGCGUUAAGUUGCAGGGUAUAGACCCGAAACCCGGUGAUCUAGCCAUGGGCAGGUUGAAGGUUGGGUAACACUAACUGGAGGACCGAACCGACUAAUGUUGAAAAAUUAGCGGAUGACUUGUGGCUGGGGGUGAAAGGCCAAUCAAACCGGGAGAUAGCUGGUUCUCCCCGAAAGCUAUUUAGGUAGCGCCUCGUGAAUUCAUCUCCGGGGGUAGAGCACUGUUUCGGCAAGGGGGUCAUCCCGACUUACCAACCCGAUGCAAACUGCGAAUACCGGAGAAUGUUAUCACGGGAGACACACGGCGGGUGCUAACGUCCGUCGUGAAGAGGGAAACAACCCAGACCGCCAGCUAAGGUCCCAAAGUCAUGGUUAAGUGGGAAACGAUGUGGGAAGGCCCAGACAGCCAGGAUGUUGGCUUAGAAGCAGCCAUCAUUUAAAGAAAGCGUAAUAGCUCACUGGUCGAGUCGGCCUGCGCGGAAGAUGUAACGGGGCUAAACCAUGCACCGAAGCUGCGGCAGCGACGCUGAUGCGUUGUUGGGUAGGGGAGCGUUCUGUAAGCCUGCGAAGGUGUGCUGUGAGGCAUGCUGGAGGUAUCAGAAGUGCGAAUGCUGACAUAAGUAACGAUAAAGCGGGUGAAAAGCCCGCUCGCCGGAAGACCAAGGGUUCCUGUCCAACGUUAAUCGGGGCAGGGUGAGUCGACCCCUAAGGCGAGGCCGAAAGGCGUAGUCGAUGGGAAACAGGUUAAUAUUCCUGUACUUGGUGUUACUGCGAAGGGGGGACGGAGAAGGCUAUGUUGGCCGGGCGACGGUUGUCCCGGUUUAAGCGUGUAGGCUGGUUUUCCAGGCAAAUCCGGAAAAUCAAGGCUGAGGCGUGAUGACGAGGCACUACGGUGCUGAAGCAACAAAUGCCCUGCUUCCAGGAAAAGCCUCUAAGCAUCAGGUAACAUCAAAUCGUACCCCAAACCGACACAGGUGGUCAGGUAGAGAAUACCAAGGCGCUUGAGAGAACUCGGGUGAAGGAACUAGGCAAAAUGGUGCCGUAACUUCGGGAGAAGGCACGCUGAUAUGUAGGUGAAGUCCCUUGCGGAUGGAGCUGAAAUCAGUCGAAGAUACCAGCUGGCUGCAACUGUUUAUUAAAAACACAGCACUGUGCAAACACGAAAGUGGACGUAUACGGUGUGACGCCUGCCCGGUGCCGGAAGGUUAAUUGAUGGGGUCAGCGCAAGCGAAGCUCUUGAUCGAAGCCCCGGUAAACGGCGGCCGUAACUAUAACGGUCCUAAGGUAGCGAAAUUCCUUGUCGGGUAAGUUCCGACCUGCACGAAUGGCGUAAUGAUGGCCAGGCUGUCUCCACCCGAGACUCAGUGAAAUUGAACUCGCUGUGAAGAUGCAGUGUACCCGCGGCAAGACGGAAAGACCCCGUGAACCUUUACUAUAGCUUGACACUGAACAUUGAGCCUUGAUG